This 103-nucleotide microRNA precursor is filed under the name Marmota monax (woodchuck). The record is from RNAcentral. Lineage: Eukaryota; Metazoa; Chordata; Mammalia; Rodentia; Sciuridae.
AGUGAAGUUGCUAAAUCAUGUGGUAAUUUUAUGUUUAGCUUUUUGAGGAACUAUGAGAUUGUUUUCCAAAGUGACUGCACCGUUUUACCUUCCCAUUAGCAGC